GGUUCGAUGGUCUAGGGUAUGAUUCUCGCUUCGGGUGCGAGAGGUCCCGGGUUCAACUCCGGUCGAACCC
RNAcentral lists this transfer RNA (70 nucleotides) under Trichonephila clavata. It matches the Rfam family "tRNA". From Rfam's summary of the family: Transfer RNA (tRNA) molecules are approximately 80 nucleotides in length. Their secondary structure includes four short double-helical elements and three loops (D, anti-codon, and T loops). The record is from Rfam by way of RNAcentral. Lineage: Eukaryota; Metazoa; Arthropoda; Arachnida; Araneae; Nephilidae.